Molecule: long non-coding RNA, 1404 nt
Filed under: Homo sapiens (human)
Lineage: Eukaryota; Metazoa; Chordata; Mammalia; Primates; Hominidae
Description: HSALNT0350691
Source: RNAcentral
UCCCGAAUAACUGGGACUACAGGUGUCCACCACUACGCCCGGCUAAUUUUUGUAUUUUUAGUAGAGAUGGGGUUUCACCAUGUUGGCCAGGCUGGUCUCAAACUUCUGACCUCAGGUGAUCCACGCAACUCGGCCUCCCCAAGUGCUGGGAUGACAGGCGUGAGCCAUCCCUCCUAGCCAGGAAUUGCAAUUUUAGGUGAAAUUUGCUUCCUGUUGCCCUCGGGGCACUGUGGCCCUGUUUGCUGGUGCCUUCCUGCUCCUUCACUCGCCUUCGGGGCGCUGUGGCCCUGUUUGCUGGUGCCUUCCUGCUCCUUCACUCGCCUUCGGGGCGCUGUGGCCCUGUUUGCUGGUGCCUUCCUGCUCCUUCUUCACUUGCCUUCGGGGCACUGUGGGUCUGUUUGCUAGUGCCUUCCUGCCUCUUCGCUUGCCUUCGGGGCACUGUGGCCCUGUUUGCUGGUGCCUUCCUGCUCCUUCACUCGCCUUCGGGGCGCUGUGGCCCUGUUUGCUGGUGCCUUCCUGCUCCUUCACUCGCCUUCGGGGCACUGUGGCCCUGUUUGCUGGUGCCUUCCUGCCCCUUCGCUCGCCUUCGGGGCACUGUGGCCCUGUUUGCUGGUGCCUUCCUGCCCCUUCGCUCGCCUUCGGGGCACUGUGGCCCUGUUUGCUGGUGCCUUCCUGCCCCUUCGCUCGCCUUCGGGGCACUGUGGCCCUGUUUGCUGGUGCCUUCCUGCCUCUUCGCUUGCCUUCGGGGCACUGUGGCCCUGUUUGCUGGUGCCUUCCUGCCUCUUCGCUUGCCUUCGGGGCACUGUGGCCCUGUUUGCUGGUGCCUUCCUGCUCCUUCUUCACUUGCCUUCGGGGCACUGUGGCCCUGUUUGCUGGUGCCUUCCUGCCCCUUCGCUCGCCUUCGGGGCACUGUGGCCCUGUUUGCUGGUGCCUUCCUGCCCCUUCGCUCGCCUUCGGGGCACUGUGGCCCUGUUUGCUGGUGCCUUCCUGCUCCUUCUUCACUUGCCUUCGGGGCACUGUGGCCCUGUUUGCUGGUGCCUUCCUGCCCCUUCGCUCGCCUUCGGGGCACUGUGGCCCUGUUUGCUGGUGCCUUCCUGCCUCUUCGCUUGCCUUCGGGGCACUGUGGCCCUGUUUGCUGGUGCCUUCCUGCUCCUUCUUCACUUGCCUUCGGGGCACUGUGGCCCUGUUUGCUGGUGCCUUCCUGCCCCUUCGCUCGCCUUCGGGGCACUGUGGCCCUGUUUGCUGGUGCCUUCCUGCCCCUUCGCUCGCCUUCGGGGCACUGUGGCCCUGUUUGCUGGUGCCUUCCUGCCCCUUCGCUCGCUGUGCUGCAAUGUGGGCAUGUUCUGUGGGUUUGUCUUCAAGUCCAUUGACCUUUUCUUUUGCCUUUGAGGUCUUUUUUGUUUG